GAUGAACGCUGGCGGCGUGCCUAAUACAUGCAAGUCGAGCGAAAGGACGCGAAGCUUGCUUUUUUGAUGUUAGCGGAGGACGGGUGAGUAACACGUGGAUAAUCUACCUAUAAGUCUGGGAUCACUUCGGGACACCGGCGCUAAUCCGGGAUAAUAUUUUGAUCCGCGUGGUGCAAAGGUGAAAGACGGUCUUGCUGUCACUUCUAGAUGGAUCCGCGCUGCAUUAGCUAGUUGUGAAGGUAACGGCUUAUCAAGGCAACGAUGCAUAGCCGACCUACGAGGGUGAUCGGCCGCACGGGAGCUGAGACACCGACCAGACUACUACGGGAGGCAGCAGUAGGGAAUCGUCCGCAACAGGCGAAAGCCUUACGGAGCGACGCGGCGUGUGUUAUGAAGGUCUUCCGAGCGUAAUACUCGGUUAUUAGUGAAGAACAGAUUUGUAAGGAACUGUACACAGCUUGACGGUACUGAAUCAGAAAGCCACGGCUAACUACGUG
Molecule: ribosomal RNA, 497 nt
Filed under: uncultured bacterium
Lineage: Bacteria
Description: partial 16S ribosomal RNA
Rfam family: Bacterial small subunit ribosomal RNA
Source: RNAcentral